RNAcentral lists this long non-coding RNA (690 nucleotides) under Bos taurus (domestic cattle). RNAcentral describes it as "long non-coding RNA NONBTAT011799". Lineage: Eukaryota; Metazoa; Chordata; Mammalia; Artiodactyla; Bovidae. The record is from RNAcentral.
CAAAGAAAUGAGAUGCAUUAAUACACUUCACAGCAGUUAAAAGGAAAUAAAAUUGUAGGGCACUUUGAAGAAGUAAGGCUACUUGUAAUCUAUUUCCUGGUAGACCUGUUUAAGGCAGCACUUCCCAGUUCUAAAAUUCUACAGCAAUAAGUCACCCUCCUUUCUUUAAUUUAAGAGAUUGCCUGCCAGUUUGAUUGGAAAUAGUCCGAAGCCCAGCCAGCAAAGUGUUCAGCCCUUUUGUGAAGUUUAAUAUCUUUUUCUCUUUUGUGGCCAUUUAUUAAAUAACACUGCAUGAGAAUUCCUCCCUCCCUUUUAUCACAAUUUCCCCAGCACCUGCCCUUACUUAGCAUUUCAAAAAAGAAGAAAAGCAGCAGGCAGCAAUGAUUUAGCCCCUUUUUAAGCCCUGCUGUAAAAUCAAAUGUGGCUGAAUUAUAGUCUUAAUUUUUAAAUGUAUUCAACGUGAUUAAAUAUGAUUAAAAUACUAAGCUUUACUUAUCAGAAAAUAGCCUGCUCGUUCACAGAAAAGUGCUUUUGUGAUAAUUCCAUAAUACUAAGGAUUUCUGAGCUAUUAAAUUGCUUGGUAUCUUUAGUUCAUUCUCUUUGAUGUUUAAAAGAAAUACAUAAAUGCAUAAUGAGUAUAUGUAUAAAGAUAUGUUUAAAUACAAGUAAAUUAAUGUAAAGUAAAUCUAA